Molecule: long non-coding RNA, 106 nt
Organism: Dipodomys spectabilis (banner-tailed kangaroo rat)
Lineage: Eukaryota; Metazoa; Chordata; Mammalia; Rodentia; Heteromyidae
Exons: 3
Source: RefSeq, a predicted model, not a curated record
AACCAAGAUUUGAAGAGAUCUAUUAUCUAAACUCCCAAAGAACCAAUAAUCCAAUCAAUAAAUAGGCAACUGAACUGAAGAGACAAAAGAGUGAACUGAGCUCCAA